AGAGUUUGAUCCUGGCUCAGGAUGAACGCUGGCGGCGUGCCUAACACAUGCAAGUCGAGCGAGAAGCUUUUGAAGGAUCCUUCGGGUGACUGAUAAAGUGGAAAGCGGCAGACGGGUGAGUAACGCGUGGGUAACCUGCCCCAUACAAAGGGAUAGCCACUGGAAACGGUGAUUAAUACCAUAUAACACCAUAGUGUCGCAUGACACCUUGGUCAAAGAUUUAUCGGUAUGGGAUGGACCCGCGUCUGAUUAGCUAGUUGGUGAGGUAACGGCUUACCAAGGCGACGAUCAGUAGCCGACCUGAGAGGGUGAUCGGCCACACUGGAACUGAGACACGGUCCAGACUCCUACGGGAGGCAGCAGUGGGGAAUAUUGCACAAUGGGCGCAAGCCUGAUGCAGCAACGCCGCGUGAGCGAUGAAGGCCUUCGGGUCGUAAAGCUCUGUCCUCAAGGAAGAAUAAAUGACGGUACUUGAGGAGGAAGCCCCGGCUAACUAC
Molecule: ribosomal RNA, 497 nt
Filed under: uncultured bacterium
Lineage: Bacteria
Description: bacterial SSU rRNA
Rfam family: Bacterial small subunit ribosomal RNA
Source: RNAcentral